Molecule: ribosomal RNA, 479 nt
Filed under: uncultured bacterium
Lineage: Bacteria
Description: bacterial SSU rRNA
Rfam family: Bacterial small subunit ribosomal RNA
Source: RNAcentral
AGGCUUAACACAUGCAAGUCGAGGGGCAGUCGGGAGUAGCAAUACUGCCGGCGACCGGCGCAAGGGUGCGUACGCGUGAGCAACAUGCCCGUAUCAGGGGGAUAAUCCAUGGAAACGUGGUCUAAUACCCCAUAGUAAUUAUGUAAGGCAUCUUAUAUAAUUUAAAGCUUUGGUGGAUACGGAUUGGCUCGCGUGACAUUAGCUGGAUGGUAAGGUAACGGCUUACCAUGGCUACGAUGUCUAGGGGUUCUGAGAGGAAGGUCCCCCACACUGGAACUGAGACACGGUCCAGACUCCUACGGGAGGCAGCAGUGAGGAAUAUUGGACAAUGGAUGGAAAUCUGAUCCAGCCAUGCCGCGUGCCAGGAAGACGGCCCUAUGGGUUGUAAACUGCUUUUGUAUGGGAGCAAUAAGGGCUACGUGUAGUCCGAUGAGAGUACCAUACGAAUAAGCACCGGCUAACUCCGUGCCAGCCGCCGC